RNAcentral lists this ribosomal RNA (465 nucleotides) under Vreelandella stevensii. Its description in RNAcentral is "partial 16S ribosomal RNA". It matches the Rfam family "Bacterial small subunit ribosomal RNA", at positions 338 to 795 of the family's 1533-position model. The record is from RNAcentral. Lineage: Bacteria; Pseudomonadati; Pseudomonadota; Gammaproteobacteria; Oceanospirillales; Halomonadaceae.
CCUACGGGGGGCAGCAGUGGGGAAUAUUGGACAAUGGGCGAAAGCCUGAUCCAGCCAUGCCGCGUGUGUGAAGAAGGCCUUCGGGUUGUAAAGCACUUUCAGUGGGGAAGAAAGCCUUGGGGCUAAUACCCUCGAGGAAGGACUUCACCCACAGAAGAAGCACCGGCUAACUCCGUGCCAGCAGCCGCGGUAAUACGGAGGGUGCGAGCGUUAAUCGGAAUUACUGGGCGUAAAGCGCGCGUAGGCGGUCUGAUAAGCCGGUUGUGUAAGCCCCGGGCUCAACCUGGGAACGGCAUCCGGAACUGUCAGGCUAGAGUGCAGGAGAGGAAGGUAGAAUUCCCGGUGUAGCGGUGAAAUGCGUAGAGAUCGGGAGGAAUACCAGUGGCGAAGGCGGCCUUCUGGACUGACACUGACGCUGAGGUGCGAAAGCGUGGGUAGCAAACAGGAUUAGAUACCCGGGUAGUC